This 5136-nucleotide long non-coding RNA is filed under the name Olea europaea subsp. europaea. The record is from RNAcentral. Lineage: Eukaryota; Viridiplantae; Streptophyta; Magnoliopsida; Lamiales; Oleaceae.
UUUAAGUAGGGAAACGAUGAAUUUUAUUAAACCCGAUAAUAUGAAGAGAAUUACAAUGACACAGCAAUUUGGCUUAAACUAAACUGAAAGAAAAGCCACAUAUUUAUAGUACACAAGGUAAACCCUAAAACAUGGCUAAAAUAUGGAAAUUAAGAAAAACCACGUAAAAGAAAGAAAUCCAGCACUCAAAUAUUAUUUCCUUAAUUUUGGAUGCAAUUGAUUUCUUUCCUUUUUCACUUGGCUCUAAUGAUUCUUUCCUAAACCAAGACAACAUGCAAUCUUCCAAUCUUUGACCAAAUUUUGAGGCACCUAAUUAACAAUCUCCACCUCGACUCGAAAUUCCGGUGCAACAAAUAAAACUUCAAAUUUCAAAUUCGUCUACAUUGGAAUAGCCAAUCUCCUCAACACAGUAAUCAAACUCUCCAUCACCAAAACCAUCGUCCUCUGCACGGCGUCCACUAGCGACACCCGAACCCAAAUCCCGGGCUCCCAAAAUUCCACCGAGGAAUUAUUAUUGACCAAACAGAUCGAAGCACACACUGUAGCAGAAAUCAUACCAAAUGCACGAUCAGAAGGCCCCUUGCAAAUAUUAUCACCUUCAAUGAUCCCUACGGCAUCCCAGACAUCUCCAAAAACUAUACCUACACUCCAUGAGUCCAUUGGCACCAUAAGAACACACAUUGUAGCAGAAAUCAUACCAAAUGUACGAUCAGAAGGCCCCUUGCAAAUAUUAUCACCUUCAAUAAUCCCUACGGCAUCCCAGACAUCUCCAAAAACUGUACCUAUCCUCCAUGAGUCCAUUGACACCAUAAGAACACAGUGUACCUGCUAAAAUUGGUGGCAAAGCAGAAUCAUCAACACUUCCAUGAGUAAAGUUCUUAACUGGUCCAAAGCCAAACACGAGAGGUACUGUACCAAAUUGAAUGUCCACCACGGUACUGAACUUGUCCAAGUGUCUCUGAGCUGGUUCUGCGCUCCCUUGCAAGAUGUACAACUGGGAUUUCCUUCGUCCCUCCAAUAUAACCAGGACACGCUUUUGAACCUUCAAAACUCCACCUCCACCAGAGAAUUUACACCCUUUUGCAUCCAAGGCACUCAGCGAUAUGAGAUUCUUUGUCAAGUCUGAAACAUGGAGAACCUGAUCAAGUAUCCUCACUGUCCCAUCUUGUAGCAUCAAUCUGACCCGACCUAUUCCUACAACCCGACAAGAUUAGUUGUUUCCCAUGACAACUCCACCUUGCUUCACCGUUUCAUAUGUCUGAAACAAAACCCUAUUGGGAAACAUAUGAUAUGAACAUGCAGAAUCCAAAAUCCACUUCCCAGGUUUGGAUUCCCCAUCAAAUACAGCCAGUAUUACGUCUCUAUCAUCCGAAAAAUUGUUAAUAAUGUUAGUCUUGUUACCUGAUUGUCCCACAUGAUUUGCAUGUGAAUCACCUUUACCCUAUAACUUAUCGCAAUCUUUCUUAAUGUGUCAUUUCCUCUUGCAGUAAUAAUAAUACACAUUUCUAUAUCUCACCUUCGAUCUACCCCUCUGUCGAUCACCAUGAGUAACCAGAGCAUCCCCACCUCUAGAUGCAGGAUCUCCAACCAACAGCUCCAUCUUCUCCUUUGAGACUAGGGCAUCAUAUACCUCCUUAAUGGUCAGCAUUUCACGACUAUACAAUAAAGUAUCAGGAAACGACGAAAAAAACUGGGUAGUGAACACAACAGGAUUAAGGCUAGAUCCUCUUCAUCAUAUUUUACCUUCAACGUCUCCAAAUCUGCAACAAUCUUCUUGAACACAGCAAGAUGGUCCUACAAUGACCCUCCUUCCGCCAUGCGAUGGGAAUACGACUUCUGCUUUAGAGUCAGUUUGCUAUUCAGACUCUUUGCCAUACACAACUGUUCCAGUUUGAGCCACAAAGCAGCCACCAUUUUUUCUUCAAGACAUCCUGCAGAAUAUUGUUAGAUAAGUGAAAAUGAAUCUGUACCAGAGCCUUUCCAUCUCCCUAUUGUUUCUUCUCUAUAGACAAAUUUGCUGGCAUCUUCUCAAAACCUAGCAAAGUAUCGUCAAGAUCCAUCUGCGUCAACACAGCCUUCACCUUUAUUUGCCACAGUGAAAAUCUUGUAUUGCGAUCCGGCAGUGGAAUUUCAUACUUCAAUGAAUUCAUCCUUAAAAAAUCUCAACCAAAUCGAAGAACCUACAACCCGUGCUCUGAUACCACUUGUUGGGACCGAUGACCAAUAAUGUAGGAAUUGAGAUUUAAUGAGCACCACUUGAAGUAAUAAACAAGAUCACGAAAUAUCAAGAACAAGAUUUAAAGUAAGAAGAAAACGAGAAUUUAAGUAGAGGAAUGAUAAAUUUUAUUAAACCCAACAAUAUGGAGAGAAUUACAACGACACGACAAUUUGGCUUAAACUAAACAGAAAGAGGAGCCGCAUAUUUAUAGUACACGAGUCAAACCCUAAAACUAUGCUAAAACAUGGAAAUUAAGAAAAACCACAUAAAAGAAAGAAAUCCGGCACCCAAAUAUUAUUUCCUUAAUUUUGGAUGCAAUUGAUUUCUUUCCUUUUUCACUUGACUCUAAUGAUUCUUUCCUAAACCAAGACAACACGCAAUCUUCCAAUCUUUGACCAAAUUUUGAGGCACCUAAUUAAUAGAAAUCAUGCUCUGGAGUGUGUUUGCAAAAGUUCUAGGUAAGAAUAUGCAUAUGCUGUAACUUAACAGAGAAAUCGAAAAGAUUAUUUAAUCUUUAAGUGGGAUUUGUUGCAAAUGCAGUACGAAGUAUGGACAUUCCUGCACUAAAAUUGAAGCAUCAUCAUGCACUUCAACUAGUAAAAACCUUAUGUGCAAUUGUGAUGAAAAAUGAUUGUUCCAAACUUGGGAACCCACUUCUUUUAGGGGGCACUGACACGACCCGUCCCGAACACCUUAAUGGAUUCGACACGUGUCAUGCGCCGAUGGUAGAUACCAGGUAAACGUCGGACCCACCACCAAGGCAAUUUGACUUGCUUGACUGAAGAAUAUUUUUAACAAAAUUUUGACAAAGUUCCCCUUGAAAUAUGAACUAAAACCACUAAACAACAACUAAUUUUCCUCAAAUCAAUACCUAUAAUAUAAAUAGGAUACGUCAGUCCCUCAAAAUACAAACUAUUCAAAUAAAAUGUCGGCAAAUCAACAUUUCCUUUCUUUGCAACCAACAUUUCUCAAAUAUACUAAAGACACCAAAUAUGCAGUGAACUCAUGAUAACCUUUUCUGACAUAAACUACAUAUAACUCAAAGAAAUAUGUACUACAUAGUCUGGUAAAGUAGGUCAUACAACCUAUGAUGCGUGACUCAAUAUGGCGAAACAACAAGCUCCAAAACUGCCCAAUUCAGCUGCUAUCUGAUAAGGAAAAAGGUGAAAAGACAUAGGAGCUUAUAGCUCAAUGAGUGGAUAAUUUGCGAAUAAAUAUACUUUUUCCAUUUCUACAUAUUUUCUGAAAAUUCUAGCUUUAUUAAAUCUUUGAAAAAUUCUGAAAUCUGGUAACACUUUUAAAAACCAAAACAUGAUUGCAUCAUACAAUUCUUUAUUCUUAAUUCUAGAUAAGUAGAUGUAAAGUUAACGAAUAAUCUGAUAUUCAUGAAAAUCUAUGAAAUAUUGCUACUGGUCAAUACUAUAAGCUGAAAACUUUAUUUUGAAAACUGAAUUAACUGAAUUCCAUAAUCUGAAAUCUGAGAACUAAAUAAAUAUUGAAAAAUCACACCAUAAAAAGUACCCAAUGAAUAGCCUUACUCAUGUACAGAGUAAUCUCGACGUACAAGGCAAAGCCAUUCAAAUCUGAUAGCUGAUAAUCUGAUAAUCUGGUUAUACGUAUGCAGAGCUGCCACAAAGGAUAAUCACCCUAGUACACGGCCCAAAGCCUAUGUGUGUAUGAGAGUGGGUUCCAAAGACCUUUGAUAAUCUGGUCAUACACUAUGGAAAUACAUUCACGAUAGUGCAGAGCGGGUAAAAUCACUAUAACUAGUUAUACACUGUGGAAACACAUUCACAUUAGUGCAAACUGAGGUAAAAUCACCUAGGUACUUUCUGGUGAUUUUUAGAAAUAACUUUAACUAUACUGAAACAUGUAAUAAGAAUAUAACAUGCUACUAAAAUAAUUUAAUUGAACUGAAUUUAGCUUUAAAAGCAAUUGAUAAUAAAAUUCAUUUUAUUCUGAAAAUCAUGCUAUAAAGUCAACUUUAUAAAAUAAAUAACUUUAAAAUUUAAAGAAAACUUAUUUCUGAAAAAUAAGUUUUAUAUCCACUCACAAAGUUAUAGUCGAUCAUGGUUUCGAUAUUUUCGUUGCCUCAUCACUUUCAAAUUCCGAGUAUGAUAUCAUGCUCUCGCUAUAAUAAAUCAUAUUCCUUCACAAGCGUGCCUUGAGUAUUUUCCUACCAUUAGAAAUAAUAAUUUACCAAUGAAAACUUCACAUAUUUUAUUUUCAAUCUCAUAAUCCCAUUUAGAGUCAUGAACAACAUAUACUUCUUUAUAUAAAUUAUUUUAACACCAAAACGUCAAAUAUUUAACACUUAAUUUGGUUCUAAUACUAAAAAUCCACCAAAAUUAGAUGAUUAACAAAACUAGCACUAUAAUUCCAAAAUAUUGAAAACUGGCACCAAUUUCUGAUAUUGAAAUCUGUCACCAAAAACAUUGAGAGAAAUAACACCUUUCUGGGCAGAAUUUCAAACUAGCACCUGUUUUGCAAAAACUCGAAAAUUGCUAAAAAAAAAUGGAGAAUUUCAACCUCAAAUCCUUAAUUUAAGUUUUUAGCAUCACAUAAUUCCAAGAAUUUCAAAUAAUAUGCCUUUAUAUCACAAACCCAUUUCCAAAGUUUCCACUUUCUUCAACACUAAUUUCCAAACACAUUUUUUUUUGACAUAUACUUAUUUUAAUCAUCAAAUACAUAUCAAUAACACAUAAUUCUUGCUAGACUUUGAAUUAAAGCAAAUUUUCCAUAACCCUUAAAAAUUUAAUUCAAUAAAUUUAUACUUACCAUUCUAAACCAAAUGAGAAAUUGAAGAAUUUGAAAACCAUAGCUUGAAAAUUAUUCUUCUCCUCCUCCUCUUCUUCUUCUUCUUCUUCUUCUUCUUCUUCUUCCUCCUCCUCCUCCUCCUCCUCUCGGUCUCUCUCGAC